This 397-nucleotide ribosomal RNA is filed under the name uncultured bacterium. RNAcentral's name for it is "partial 16S ribosomal RNA". It matches the Rfam family "Bacterial small subunit ribosomal RNA", at positions 523 to 918 of the family's 1533-position model. The record is from RNAcentral.
AUACGUAGGUGACUAGCGUUGUCCGGAUUUACUGGGCGUAAAGAGCGCGCAGGCGGUCGUUCAAGUCGAGUGUGAAAGCCCCCGGCUCAACUGGGGAGGGUCAUUCGAUACUGAUCGACUCGAAGGCAGGAGAGGGAAGCGGAAUUCCCGGUGUAGUGGUGAAAUGCGUAGAUAUCGGGAGGAACACCAGUGGCGAAGGCGGCUUCCUGGCCUGUUCUUGACGCUGAGGCGCGAAAGCUAGGGGAGCAAACGGGAUUAGAUACCCCGGUAGUCCUUGUCGUAAACGAUGGACACUAGGUGUUGGUGGUAUCAACCCCACCAGUGCCGAAGCUGACGCAUUAAGUGUCCCGCCUGGGGAGUACGGCCGCAAGGCUAAAACUCAAAUGAAUUGACGGGG